AGUGAACGCUGGCGGUAGGCCUAACACAUGCAAGUCGAACGGCAGCACAGUAAGAGCUUGCUCUUACGGGUGGCGAGUGGCGGACGGGUGAGGAAUACAUCGGAAUCUACUUUUUCGUGGGGGUUACCGUGGGGAAACUUCCGCUAAUACCGCAUCCGCCCUCCGGGUAAAACCAGGGGAUCUUCGGACCUUCGCCGAUGGAUUGACCCGAUGUCGGUUUGGCUAGUGGGCGGGGUAAGGGCCCCCCAGGGCACCGUUCCGAAGCUGGUCGAGAGGAUGGUUCGGCCAAACGGAACCGAGACCAGGGCCCGAACUCCUAGGGAAGGCACAGGGGGGAAUAUUGGACAAUGGGCGCAAGCCUGAUCCAGCCAUACCGCGUGGGUGAAGAAGGCCUUCGGGUUGUAAAGCCCUUUUGUUGGGAAAGAAAAGCAGCAGGUUAAUACCCCGCUGUUCUGACGGUACCCAAAGAAUAAGCACCGGCUAACUUCGUG
This 491-nucleotide ribosomal RNA is filed under the name uncultured bacterium. Its description in RNAcentral is "partial 16S ribosomal RNA". It matches the Rfam family "Bacterial small subunit ribosomal RNA", at positions 29 to 507 of the family's 1533-position model. The record is from RNAcentral.